GCUCUAGUAGAGCAUGCAUCAUCAAUUUUGCCAGCAACAAAAACAUAUCAUCUAGGGAUGGUCAGAAACGAGGAGACACUUCAACCAUCAAUAUAUCUUAACAAGUGGCACAAUAGUGGCAGCUCUCAACCUGAUAAAGAAAUGUGGGGUUGAGAAUAGGCAAAUUAAAGUGGUAAU
Humulus lupulus (European hop) is the source of this 177-nucleotide long non-coding RNA. RefSeq lists it as uncharacterized. The transcript is spliced from 3 exons. NCBI's taxonomy places the organism in Eukaryota, Viridiplantae, Streptophyta, Magnoliopsida, Rosales, Cannabaceae. The record is from RefSeq and is a predicted model, not a curated record.